Saccostrea cuccullata (small rock oyster) is the source of this 378-nucleotide long non-coding RNA. RefSeq lists it as uncharacterized. The record is from RefSeq and is a predicted model, not a curated record. The transcript is spliced from 3 exons. NCBI's taxonomy places the organism in Eukaryota, Metazoa, Mollusca, Bivalvia, Ostreida, Ostreidae.
ACGAGGUUUCUAUGGUAAACGUUGCUCUGAGUCGUGCGGAAACUGUAGCUAUGGAGAGACCUGUCAUCCCAUUCAUGGAUUUUGCACAAACGGGUGUGACGUAGGCGUCUUUGGAGAAAAGUGCAAUAAAAUAUGUCCAAUGGGAUUCCAUGGAAGUAACUGUUACCUCUCAUGUGGCAACUGUGAUACGUGUGAUAGGUUUACAGGAAAAUGUUUAUCCCAAUGUUAUGCUGGUUGGAUGGGAUCACUAUGCACUCAAGAAUGCAAUAGCUUAGCAUAUGGACUUGAAUGUACAAAAAGGUGUGGAAAAUGCCUUAAUGGAAGGCAAUGCCACCAUAUUAACGGAAGCUGCUUUGAUGGAUGUGAUGCUGGGUUUGU